Molecule: unclassified non-coding RNA, 260 nt
Filed under: Hevea brasiliensis (rubber tree)
Lineage: Eukaryota; Viridiplantae; Streptophyta; Magnoliopsida; Malpighiales; Euphorbiaceae
Source: RNAcentral
GAUGAAAUCUUGAGGAGUCUUUGUGGGGAGGAUGCAAUUGUUUACGCCAUUUGUGAAUUACAAGAGGAGUGUGAUUCGAGGGGUUCUUUGAUUUUGAAGAAAUAUAUGGAGUAUAGGAAAUUGGCUAAAUUAUCAUCUGAGAUUAAUGCCCAAAACAAGAAUUUGCUUGCCGUUGGAGCUCCUGAAGGGCCUGACCCGAGAGAGGUUGAGUUGUAUUUAGAAGAAAUACUGUCACUGAUGCAAUUAGGUGAGGAUUACAC